This 569-nucleotide long non-coding RNA is filed under the name Phoenix dactylifera (date palm). RNAcentral describes it as "long non-coding RNA (PDAC_LNC014003)". The record is from RNAcentral. Lineage: Eukaryota; Viridiplantae; Streptophyta; Magnoliopsida; Arecales; Arecaceae.
GUUGGACUUUCAUUGAUAUUUGACGUACAUACUUAUAUUGAUUAUUCGAGCCUUUUGAUAGCCGGUUUAUGAUUUUAUGAAAUGUGCAUCGAUUUGUCGUGGCUUUCAAAUUCAUAUUAUUAUUGUGUUGGUAUGGAUGUGUAGGGAUUCUUACUGGGUUGUAAAGCUCACCCCCCUUCUUCUUUUUCUUUACCAGAGUUGCAGGAUGCAUAGUGUUGGAUGGGAUGGGCGCAGAGUGCGAGCACCAGAAUCAUUAGUUAGUUAGUUGUUUACCCUUCUUUGAUGUCGAUGAACAUUUGAAGAGCUUGUAAAUGAACUAAUUUGUUUAUUUUGGACAUGUCGGACUGCUCUAUUUGAAUUACUAGAUUAAUUGUGGAUUUAUUGGAAUUUUGGUUAAUCAUAGGCCUUGCAUGAUCUUUAGGGCACUGCUCUAGGGCUCAUGCGGCCGGUCGCGUACCGGACCCGGGUGCUGGGUUCGGGGCGUGACACCUUCUCAAUUUAAUUAUUCCAAUACUUUCAUAAUAAACAAAAUGCACACCUCAUAGUGUCAUACAAGCUCAAAAACAAAU